UGGGGAAUAUUGCGCAAUGGGCGAAAGCCUGACGCAGCAACGCCGCGUGGGGGAUGAAGGCCUUCGGGUUGUAAACCCCUUUCAGCAGGGAAGAAGCGAGAGUGACGGUACCUGCAGAAGAAGCACCGGGUAACUACGUGCCAGCAGCCGCGGUAAUACAGAGGGGGCAAGCGUUGUCCGGACUUACUGGGCGUAAAGCGCACGCAGGUGGUAACGCAAGUGGGGUGUGAAAGCCGCCAGCUCAACUGGCGGAGGCCAUCCCAAACUGCGUCACUUGAGGCCUGUAGAGGUAUGUGGAAUUGCCGGUGUAGUGGUGAAAUGCGUAGAGAUCGGCAGGAACACCCAGGGGGAAACCAGCAUACUGGACAGGUCCUGACACUCAGGUGCGACAGCGUGGGGAGCGAACAGGAUUAGAUACCCGUGUAGUCC
RNAcentral lists this ribosomal RNA (429 nucleotides) under uncultured prokaryote. RNAcentral describes it as "bacterial SSU rRNA". It matches the Rfam family "Bacterial small subunit ribosomal RNA", at positions 355 to 796 of the family's 1533-position model. The record is from RNAcentral.